UACAGAGGGGGCAAGCGUUGUUCGGAAUUACUGGGCGUAAAGGGCGCGUAGGCGGCCUGCUAAGUCGAACGUGAAAUCCCCGGGCUCAACCCGGGAACUGCGUCCGAUACUGGCAGGCUUGAAUCCGGGAGAGGGAUGUGGAAUUCCAGGUGUAGCGGUGAAAUGCGUAGAUAUCUGGAGGAACACCGGUGGCGAAGGCGGCGUCCUGGACCAACACUGACACUGAUGAGCGAAAGCCAGGGGAGCAAACGGG
This 253-nucleotide ribosomal RNA is filed under the name uncultured bacterium. RNAcentral describes it as "partial 16S ribosomal RNA". It matches the Rfam family "Bacterial small subunit ribosomal RNA", at positions 524 to 776 of the family's 1533-position model. The record is from RNAcentral.